Molecule: ribosomal RNA, 429 nt
Filed under: Gemmatimonadota bacterium
Lineage: Bacteria; Pseudomonadati; Gemmatimonadota
Description: Gemmatimonadetes bacterium partial 16S ribosomal RNA
Rfam family: Bacterial small subunit ribosomal RNA
Source: RNAcentral
UAGGGAAUCUUCGGCAAUGGACGAAAGUCCGACCGAGCAACGCCGCGUGAGUGAAGAAGGGUCUCGGAUCGUAAAACUCUGUUGUUAGAGAAGAACAAGGACGUUAGUAACUGAACGUCCCCUGACGGUAUCUAACCAGAAAGCCACGGCUAACUACGUGCCAGCAGCCGCGGUAAUACGUAGGUGGCAAGCGUCGUCCGGAUUUAUUGGGCGUAAAGCGAGCGCAGGCGGUUUCUUAAGUCUGAUGUGAAACCCCCCGGCUCAACCGGGGAGGGUCAUUGGAAACUGGGACACUUGAGUGCAGAAGAGGAGGGUGGAAUUCCAUGUGUGGGGGUGAAAUGCGUAGAUAUAUGAGGAAACACCAGUGGCGAAGGCGGCUCUCUGAUCUGUAACUGCCGCUGAGGCUCGAAAGCGUGGGGAGCAAACAGG